Molecule: ribosomal RNA, 509 nt
Filed under: uncultured bacterium
Lineage: Bacteria
Description: partial 16S ribosomal RNA
Rfam family: Bacterial small subunit ribosomal RNA
Source: RNAcentral
AUUGAACGCUGGCGGCAUGCCUUACACAUGCAAGUCGAACGGCAGCGGGGGAGAAGCUUGCUUUUCCUGCCGGCGAGUGGCGAACGGGUGAGUAAUACAUCGGAAACGUGCCCUGUCGUGGGGGAUAACUAGUCGAAAGAUUAGCUAAUACCGCAUACGCCCUGAGGGUGAAAGUGGGGGACCGCAAGGCCCCAUGCUAUAGGAGCGCCGGAUGUCGGAUUAGCUAGUUGGUGGGGUAAAGGCCUACCAAGGCGACGAUCAGUAGCUGGUCUGAGAGGACGAUCAGCCACACUGGGACUGAGACACGGCCCAGACUCCUACGGGAGGCAGCAGUGGGGAAUUUUGGACAAUGGGCGAAAGCCUGAUCCAGCAAUGCCGCGUGUGUGAAGAAGGCCUUCGGGUUGUAAAGCACUUUUGUCCGGAAAGAAAUGGCUCUGGUUAAUACCUGGGGUCGAUGACGGUACCGGAAGAAUAAGGACCGGCUAACUACGUGCCAGCCGCCGCGGUAA